Non-coding RNA from Tachysurus fulvidraco (yellow catfish), 929 nucleotides. Lineage: Eukaryota; Metazoa; Chordata; Actinopteri; Siluriformes; Bagridae. The record is from the annotation of a RefSeq genome assembly.
AACCUGGUGACUCGUUAAAUAUCACAUGCAGCUACCAUGACAAAAAGUAUGACAAAAUAUACUGGUAUCAGCAUGUUAACCAGCAAAGUCUCCAGCUAAUUAGGGAUUCCUGAACUUCAAGAGUCCUGAAAUAGACAAAAAUGGGUUCAACAUUUCAGGAGAUGCAGAGAAGGAAGGUUAUCUCUCGGCACAGUCUGUGACAGCAGACUACAGUGCUUUGUAUUUCUGUGCAGUGAGUAACACAGUGCUAAAUAAACACUAAACCAUGCACUGAAAUCCCCCCCUUUGUCAUGUGACAACGUCCUGUGUCAUAUCAUGAUUCAUUUACACCUGUACUAAGGAUAUACAGAAGAUAUACUAUCAAAAGGCAGGUGGAGUCGGUGAUAUUUGAUACGUUCACAAAAAAUUAGUUAAAAACAUGAGUAUAGCCUAGAUAGAAUGAGGAACACUUGACAAAAUGGCAACAAUUAUAGUCUCAAGUAUCAUUCUUCUCAGUCUUAAAGCCACAGUUAUCUCUUCCCUCAACAUCCAGCAAUUACCACAAAAUCUAUUAAUAACACCUGAUCAGAGGGAAGUGAAGCUCAGCUGCCAACAUGGUGAUAGCAACUAUAUGUUCAUGUACUGGUAUCAGCAAAAAACAGUCAGUGACUCCAUUGAGCUCAUUGGAAUGCUUCAGUACCAACGAUUUACUCCUGAGGAGAAGUUUAAACCACGAUUCAACGUUUCAGGACACGCCACAGGGGAUGCAUUUCUGCUUAUAUCCAGUGUAACUCCUGAGGACAGUGCAGUAUAUUUCUGUGCUGCUAGUAAGCACAGUCACACACCUUCCCUUUCUGUUUAACAAAAAGCUUCACACCAAACACCUGCAAAUAAGAUCUGUUCUCUGAUUACUGCUGUUUGUAAUAGCAUUUAAUGUAGGAAGUGUGCAG